UUUGGACCGACAACAAAUAUGGCUGCGGGGAUUCCCCCAAGGGCAUAAGGCGAGGAUCAAUGCUAGUUCCUGUGCUGAGGCAGUGGAAAUACAAUCAUUGGACUUGAGGUCAGGACUAAGGACAUCUGUCUGAGCCUUCAGAAGGGACGAGGGAGCUGGUGGGGGGUUGACCGCUGUCAUAAAUUAAAGGAGAGGAGAUCCAGAGAACAUCCCUCUCCAAAUUAACACCUUUGUCUCCAGAGAUUUUUCCCGCUGAAACUCUAACAUGUUCUAAAGCGAAUACUGGAAAAAUAUUCCUAACACGGGGAGAGGUCUAGAGUAAGUAGCCACACCCCGAGUGAGGUCAGAGAGCGUGUCAGCCUGAUCG
Oncorhynchus tshawytscha (Chinook salmon) is the source of this 367-nucleotide long non-coding RNA. The record is from Ensembl. Lineage: Eukaryota; Metazoa; Chordata; Actinopteri; Salmoniformes; Salmonidae.